CCAACCUUUUUAGUGAGCCUUGGGCUUGUCCCGUGGUCUCGCGAAAUUCUGUAUUUAAAACCCGCUCAUAUAACUAAAACAUGUAGUAAUAUGAUAAUUAAAGA
This 104-nucleotide unclassified non-coding RNA is filed under the name uncultured Glomeromycotina. Its description in RNAcentral is "sequence contains ITS1". The record is from RNAcentral. Lineage: Eukaryota; Fungi; Glomeromycota.